Molecule: unclassified non-coding RNA, 346 nt
Filed under: soil metagenome
Description: partial contains 5.8S ribosomal RNA, internal transcribed spacer 2, and large subunit ribosomal RNA
Rfam family: 5.8S ribosomal RNA (bases 1-120)
Source: RNAcentral
GAUGAAGAACGUAGCGAAAUGCGAUAAGUAGUGUGAAUUGCAGAAUUCAGUGAAUCAUCGAAUCUUUGAACGCACAUUGCGCCCCUUGGUAUUCCAUGGGGCAUGCCUGUCCGAGCGUCAUUGCUGCCCUCAAGCACGGCUUGUGUGUUGGGCCCCGUCCUCCGAUCCCGGGGGACGGGCCCGAAAGGCAGCGGCGGCACCGCGUCCGGUCCUCGAGCGUAUGGGGCUUUGUCACCCGCUCUGUAGGCCCGGCCGGCGCUUGCCGAUCAACCCAAAUUUUUAUCCAGGUUGACCUCGGAUCAGGUAGGGAUACCCGCUGAACUUAAGCAUAUCAAUAAGCGGAGGA